This 156-nucleotide ribosomal RNA is filed under the name uncultured eukaryote. RNAcentral describes it as "partial small subunit ribosomal RNA". It matches the Rfam family "Eukaryotic small subunit ribosomal RNA", at positions 1662 to 1828 of the family's 1831-position model. The record is from RNAcentral.
GUACACACCGCCCGUCCGUCGCUCCUACCGAUUGAGUGAUCCGGUGAACUUUCUGGACUUCUGGUUAACGCCGAGGAGGAAGUUAAGUAAACCUUAUCACUUAGAGGAAGGAGAAGUCGUAACAAGGUUUCCGUAGGUGAACCUGCAGAAGGAUCA